Long non-coding RNA from Trifolium pratense (red clover), 785 nucleotides. RefSeq lists it as uncharacterized. The transcript has 3 exons. Lineage: Eukaryota; Viridiplantae; Streptophyta; Magnoliopsida; Fabales; Fabaceae. The record is from RefSeq and is a predicted model, not a curated record.
GGGGAAGAUUGAAACGCACCGUUUCGGUUUUUUUUUUUCUAAAAUAAAAAAAAUAUAUAAAAAAAUAAUAAUAAAAAAAAAAAACAUGGGACAAAAAGACAAACCAAAUAAAACACGGAAACCCCACCCACCCCUUUCUAUUUCUCUCACGUGCCUUUCACUCUCUACUCCCAUCUUCUAGAAUUCUCUCCACUCUCACUUUCAUUUUGUUCGUCUCUAUUCCAAUUCACCAUAAUUCUUUUUCUCUUCUCUCCACUCUUGAUGGUUAAUUACUCAUAUAAGCAAAGCUAUCUCCUAGUCUAAAAGUGUUCAUGGGUAAAGAUUUUGGAGUUAGGGUUAUUGCUCUAAGAAAGGAGAAGAAUAUCCAUCUCUUGAAAGUUGGUCAUUUAUAUUCUUUGAGAUUCGAUGAAAAUUGCUCCGGUGGUCAUUCCGGAAGGCAUUGCUAGGAACGGAGUUGAUUCGUCAUAGUUAUUCAAAGUCAACUGAAUAGAAAGCUUCUAUCAGAGUUAAAGAUUUGUCAAUGUCACUCUUUUGGUAGGCCUUCUUGAUGAACAACUAUUUUGUAUAUGUAUAUUUGGAGUUGAUCGAGUAUCUGCAGCUAUUUUGAGUCUAGGAAUAUCUUGUUUUUAAAUGUAUAAAUUUAAACAUGUAUAUUUUGAAAAUUUUGACUGAAUGAUGUAUAUGCUGCAAACAGGAUUUAUUCUGAUUUGGAAACAUUAAAAAUACAGAUGAGACUUUGUCGAAAUUUCAGUAAAAUUGUUCUAAAGUAAAUAGUCAUUUGGAAA